This is a long non-coding RNA of Quercus lobata, 549 nucleotides long. RefSeq lists it as uncharacterized. The transcript is spliced from 4 exons. The record is from RefSeq and is a predicted model, not a curated record. Lineage: Eukaryota; Viridiplantae; Streptophyta; Magnoliopsida; Fagales; Fagaceae.
UUCUGUCAUACGCUCUCCUCUCUACUCUCAUCCUCUCCACCGGCACUUCCACACCACCACCACCACCACCACCACCAUUUCCACCAUCAUUUUCUGGCAAGGUCACCGGAAAAUUCUUGGGAACCCAUAAACACCUUCACAUCCUUUUUUUGAGGUUCUAACUAAUCUCCUUAGAGCUUAGAGAAUUAGGAUUUUGCGGUUGCGAGAGGGUAUGUGAAAGGGGUGGUUACAUACAUGAUAAUGGAUGAUCCGGAGGUGAAACCCAUGUCUACCAUUUCUAGUAUCACAUUGCUUAACAAGUUUAAUGUCAAACAAUUAGGGGAUCUUGAGGAGAAAGUUGUCGAACUGGGCAUGGAAGAGGGUGUGAAAUUGCUCAAGGCUUCUCUGCAGUCGAAGAGUGUCUUGACUGAUGUCUUCCUCCCGAAGUUGGAACGAGAAGUCAACGUAGAGAGUUAAUUUCAAGGUGCAAGAGUUGUGUAGGAUUGCCAUAACGUUGUCAUUUUAAAUGUCAGUUAAAUCUGGUGUUGCUUUCUUGACCCUCUAGGUCUU